UUCUCUCCUCUUCCCCUUUGCCCCCACGACGCUGAAUGCGUCUUCCUCUUCCUCUUCCCCAACCGACGACGCCGCUUCGCUUCUCCAUCCCUCCCACGCGUAAAAAACUUUCGGCCGAAGAUCUCCCUCACUCGUCUCACCCAACACUAACUCCCUUCUCUCCCGAUCUUCCCUGCGCCGACGCUGUGCCUUAGCCCUAGAAUCGUCACUUCUUCUUCUCUUCUGUUUUCUUCCUCCGAUCGCCGAGCAGAGCCGCCUUCUCUCUGCCCUAGUGUCAAGCACUUAGCACAUCCAAGGUGAACCCGUCGGUCUCCAAGCUCUCGGUUAUAAGAAAAUUCCUACACAUGGUGACCCCAUCCUGUACCUGAUUGCUGGCCACAAUCUUCGUUUGUCGGCUCACUGAUUAUAGAUUCAAGGCUGCAGACUCUUGGCCCGAUUAGUGUUCUUCCUCCCUACCGAUCGCCAACGCUGAUCUAGGGAUUUCGGCCGCUAGAUGUGAGUAGGUGCUUUUGGCUGGUAUUCUCAACAACCGCGAUUUCUGGCCAUGAGCAACCAACACCGACAUCUCACUCUGACCGUUGUUUUCCAUCGAGCCAUCAAAAUUGAGAUCAACCGCUCUGCUAUGGAUCCGAGCAUCACCAUUUGAGGACGACUCACAACACCGGCCAUAAUUUCCAACAGCUACCCUUUUCCGGCAGCAACAUCCCUGGUUAUGAGUUUGAGGGCUUUGAUUCGAGAUGAGCAUCUCUAAGUGGGGUCUAUUUCGGAGACGAUCUCCAUAUUUUGAGGCGGGU
This is a long non-coding RNA of Zingiber officinale, 794 nucleotides long. RefSeq lists it as uncharacterized. Lineage: Eukaryota; Viridiplantae; Streptophyta; Magnoliopsida; Zingiberales; Zingiberaceae. The transcript is spliced from 3 exons. The record is from RefSeq and is a predicted model, not a curated record.